RNAcentral lists this ribosomal RNA (1986 nucleotides) under human gut metagenome. RNAcentral describes it as "bacterial LSU rRNA". It matches the Rfam family "Bacterial large subunit ribosomal RNA", at positions 831 to 2824 of the family's 2925-position model. The record is from RNAcentral.
AAUCAAACUUGGAGAUAGCUCGUACUCCCCGAAAUGCAUUUAGGUGCAGCCUUGACCAUUACUAAUGUGAGGUAGAGCGACUGAUAAGAUGCGAGGGCUUCACCGCCUAUCAAGUCUUGACAAACUCCGAAUGCGCAUCAGUUCUACCGCAGGAGUGAGGGCAUGGGUGCUAAGGUCCGUGCCCGAGAGGAGAAGAAUCCGGACCACCUGCUAAGGUCCCGAAAUGACAGCUAAGUUAAACUAACGAAGUCAGAUUGCUAAGACAGCUAGGAUGUUGGCUUGGAAGCAGCCAUUCAUUUAAAGAGUGCGUAACAGCUCACUAGUCGAGGAGUCGGGCGUGGAUAAUAAUCGGGUAUUAAGUUGUCUACCGAAGCAGUGGGAUCAUUUAUAUGAUCGGUAGGGGAGCAUUCCAGUCGGCGUCGAAGGCGUACCGUGAGGUAUUCUGGAGCGUCUGGAAAAGCAAAUGUAGGUAUAAGUAACGAUAAAGGGGGCGGGAAACCCCCUCGCCGAAAGACUAAGGUUUCCUGAUCAACGCUAAUCGGAUCAGGGUCAGUCGGGUCCUAAGGCUCAGCCGAACGGCGAUGCCGAUGGCAGAAACGGUUAAUAUUCCGUUACUACCUUCAGGAGUGACGUGGAGACGCAGUAGUGACAGUGCCGCCAUCUGACGGAAUAGAUGGUUGAAGGGUGUAGGAGUCGAUCAUGGCAGGCAAAUCCACCAUGAGAUCCGAACCUGAUAGUAUGCCGCGUCCUUCGGGACAAGGCAAUAGUGCGCGUAAGCAUGCUGCCGAGAAAAUCCGCUAAACUUAAUCCUGCAGGUACCCGUACCGCAAACGGACACACGUAGUCGGGUUGAAUAUACUAAGGCGCUUGAGUGAUUCACGGUUAAGGAACUAGGCAAACUGACCCUGUAACUUCGGGAUAAAGGGUCCCUACCCUUUUAUGGGAGGGCGCAGAGAAUCGGUCCAGGCAACUGUUUAACAAAAACACAGGGCUGUGCGAAGUCGAAAGACGCUGUAUACAGCCUGACACCUGCCCGGUGCUGGAAGGUUAAGAGGAGAUGUCAUCGCAAGAGAAGCAUUGAAUUGAAGCCCCAGUAAACGGCGGCCGUAACUAUAACGGUCCUAAGGUAGCGAAAUUCCUUGUCGGGUAAGUUCCGACCUGCACGAAUGGUGUAAUGAUCUGGACACUGUCUCAACCGUGAGCUCAGUGAAAUUGUAGUAUCGGUGAAGAUGCCGAUUACCCGCGAUGGGACGAAAAGACCCCGUGAACCUUUACUAUAGCUUAUCAUUGAAUCUGGGCACGUGAUGUGUAGGAUAGGUCGGAGGCUUUGAAGCAGGCACGCCAGUGUUUGUGGAGCCGCUGUUGAAAUACGACCCUUCAUUUGUUUGAGUUCUAACUCGUGUUACGAGGACACUGAUUGGUGGGUAGUUUGACUGGGGUGGUCGCCUCCAAAAGUGUAACGGAGGCUUCUAAAGGUGCCCUCAGACCGAUUGGUAACCGGUCUCAGAGUGUAAUGGCAUAAGGGCGCUUGACUGGGAGACUAACAAGUCGAGCAGGUAGGAAACUAGAGCAUAGUGAUCCGGUGUUUCCGCAUGGAAGGGACAUCGCUCAAAGGAUAAAAGGUACUCCGGGGAUAACAGGCUGAUCCCUCCCAAGAGCUCAUAUCGACGGAGUGGUUUGGCACCUCGAUGUCGGCUCGUCACAUCCUGGGGCUGGAGAAGGUCCCAAGGGUUGGGCUGUUCGCCCAUUAAAGUGGCACGCGAGCUGGGUUCAGAACGUCGUGAGACAGUUCGGUCUCUAUCUAUCGUGGGCGUAUGAAAUUUGCGUGGCUCUGACACUAGUACGAGAGGACCGUGUUGGACAGACCUCUGGUUUGCCGGUUGUGCCGCCAGGUGCAUUGCCGGGUAUCUAAGUCUGGAUCGGAUAAGUGCUGAAAGCAUCUAAGUACGAAGCCGGCCACAAGAUUAGAUUUCUCAGGGUCGUUGU